This 495-nucleotide ribosomal RNA is filed under the name uncultured bacterium. RNAcentral describes it as "bacterial SSU rRNA". It matches the Rfam family "Bacterial small subunit ribosomal RNA", at positions 28 to 518 of the family's 1533-position model. The record is from RNAcentral.
GAUGAACGCUAGCGGCAGGCCUAAUACAUGCAAGUCGAGGGGCAGCACGGGUAGCAAUACCUGGUGGCGACCGGCGGACGGGUGCGUAACACGUUUACAAUCUGCCUUUAACAGGGGGAUAGCCCGGAGAAAUCCGGAUUAAUACCCCAUAAUAUAUUGAGUGGCAUCACUUGAUAUUGAAAGCUCCGGCGGUUAAAGAUGAGUAUGCGCCUGAUUAGUUAGUUGGUGAGGUAACGGCUCACCAAGACGACGAUCAGUAGGGGAUCUGAGAGGACUACCCCCCACACGGAUACUGAGACACGGAUCCGACUCCUACGGGAGGCAGCAGUAAGGAAUAUUGGACAAUGCCCGCAAGGGUGAUCCAGCCAUGCCGCGUGCAGGAAGACGGCCCUAUGGGUUGUAAACUGCUUUUACACCGGAGAAAACCCCUGCUCGUGAGCGGGGCUGAUAGUAUGGUGAGAAUAAGCAUCGGCUAACUUCGUGCCAGCAGCCGAC